RNAcentral lists this long non-coding RNA (27419 nucleotides) under Erythranthe guttata (spotted monkey flower). Its description in RNAcentral is "long non-coding RNA (EGUT_LNC001586)". The record is from RNAcentral. Lineage: Eukaryota; Viridiplantae; Streptophyta; Magnoliopsida; Lamiales; Phrymaceae.
AUUGUGAACUUCCUAAUGCUCAAAAUCAAUGAGUGCAAGUUAGCACCGCUCUCGAUAAAUUAAUAAUCUCACUUAGAUACAAAUUUUGUUCCGUCUGGAUUCAAUAAUAAUAUACUAUAUUAUUAGUUCGAUAAUUUAGUAUUUCAAAAAUAUAAUAGGAGUUUGUUAAUCCCGGAAGUAUUAAUUUAUAGAUGUUUAAGUCACUAAAAUAAUGUCUAAAUCUUACGGAUUAUUUUACUUGUUGAGAGGAGUUCAAAUAAGAUGGAGCUCGAGCUCGAGCUCGCGAGUUCAAGUUUGAGGUCGAAUUUUUGUUGAGUCGACCCAUCUAACUCACGAGCCAGCUCAGUUCAUUUACACCACUUAGGAGAACGACCUCGCAAUUUUAACAAAAACAAUUGACAACUAAAACAAAACUGUCAAUAUUACUUGUCCUUUUCUUUUUUCUUGGACAUCUAUGCUUCUGGUUUAGUAUUUAUUUUUAUUUUAUUUUUGAAGUUAAUUAAAGGAAUACUAAUAUCUUUUUUUAUUUAUGUGAUUUGCAGGAGAGCUCCACUUCCACAUGUCAUGCCAGCAUUUUCUCCAACUCCAUUCAUGUUUUGAAGCAUAGCCUCUCUUAAUUUUAUUUUAUUAUCAUUUUAGAAUGUGUACAUAUAUAUUUAUAGCUUUGAUGUCAUUCAUAACUUUCAUAUUAACAUAUGUUUAUUUUAUAUUACAUAAUUAUACUUAGUAAAGUAUAAUAGCUAAUAUCCAAUCAUAUACAUUAGGGGUAUAGACGAGCCGAGUUUGAGCUCUUCGAGUUUUUUUCUUUUGUUCGAUCUCAAGUGUAAGCCAUUUAUUUGUGUUUUUUUUUUAAUGUUUAAAUUGGUAUUAUUAGAAUUUUAUUAUUAUAAAUUAUAAUUAAAAAAAGUUUAUUAUUAUUUAUAUGAAUUUAUUACUUAAUGUUAUCUUAGUAUAUUUAAAAUAAAAAACUCACGAGCCGACUCAAGAGCUCAAGAACUAAGAAUGAGUUCGGGCUCAGUUCAUCAAAAAGGUCAUCAAAAAGGUCGAGCUCUUAAGCAACGCGCUCUAAAUUAAAUCCAACUUGUGCUUUAAUAUAUUAAAAAUUAUUGAACAACUCCAUAUUAACUUUUCUGAUAAUUAAUUCGAAUACUACAACAAAAAGCUCAAUAGAUAAAUAGUUUCAAACACAGAAUCGUUUGAUAGAUAAGAUAAAUAAAACUUUAAAAAAAGUCAUGUAAAUCGAAAACCAGAGAGAUAUUUUAUUGAUUCCCAACAAAUUAAAAAAAGGGGGGAAAAUUCAUUUGCAUACUGCUUCUUCUUCUUCGGGAGUCGAUUUUCCUCCACGGAAAAAGUCGGCGAAGGUAGGUAGCUUCAUCUCACCUUUGUACGACAUCGGAAUCGUGAAAUUUCCGAUCACCGGCAGAUCGAUAAUCAGCCCUAAUUCCAGCACGUAAUCGAUGUCCCAAUCGCCGCCGACGUCUCGGAUCAGGCUGACCAUGGCGCCGUGCGGCACCUUCACCGUCACCUCGAGCAUGGUGUCGCCGUUCCCCUUGAUGGAUCCGGGAUCGGGGAUGGUGCCGGAGACGAUGCAUCUGUCGGCGCUCUUGACGGCGUAGGCGAUCUCUCCGAUCGGGAUCGGGACGGAGUAUGGAUUGGUGAUGGAGAUCUUCGCCAGGAGAGUUAUUCCGUCGAGUCCGAAACCCUUGAAAUCCACGUCGGUGAUGUCGGCCUCCGGCUUCGGCAUGUUCGCAACUUUUCCGGCGACGUAGUUCUUCGCUUGCUCCAGAAUCUCCAUUGUUGAUUAAUUGCAAUUGGGUGAGAGAGAAUUGAAUGAAUUUACAGUGAGAUAUAUAUAUUGUAUAUAUAUAGACAGUGUGUAUGUAUAGGCGACGACCGUAAUAUAUAUAUAGCAAGGGGACGCGUUAUUAGCAGCAGGGAUGGGUAGUGGGGAAUCCGUGUUUUGAGAUCCGCAUUUUCAAUUUUUAUUUAUGUUUAUUUUAUUAUAUAGAAUAUCUACAUUUUCAAUUAUUGUUAUUGUAUUAUAUGCACUAAAAGAUAAAAUUCAAUUCUUCUCAAAAAAUAGAUAUUUUGUUUGAGGGUAUGUCGGCUAAACAAUCGAAUCAAACUGAAACGAGUUUUAAUUGAGUCGAACGCAAUUUGAGAUUGAAUUUGUGUACACGUUUUAUGAUUUUUUCUAAUCGAGAUCGAGUUGAGAUUCAAACUUGUUAAACGAAAAUAUCAGCUGAAGUUUGGUUCGUUAUACUGACAAAUUGAGUUCAAAUAAGUGUGCUCGAAUGUAAUGUCAAGUAUCUUGAUUUAAUUUUGAACCAUAUGCAAAGGUCGUGUGGAUCAUAUACCCGAUAAAUUACACCAGUUUGCUGAGUAUAUAGUGAAAUUAAUUUCGUCCAGUUCACCAAGUGUAAAUCUAAAUAAGGUAAAAUAUUAAUCUCACACACAAUACACUAGUCAAAUCGCAAGUCCCUUACAACCGUUCGAAUCUGUAAAUAACAAUUUUUUUUACCUCAACGAUUGUAAUUAUAGUCAAAAUUUAGGUUGAAAUUUCACGGGUCUCGAUUACUUAUUUUUUAUUAAAAAUUUAGAAAGUUCAUUACCAAACUGUUGUUGUUUCAAUUUUCAUGUUAAAUAAAGGGAGCCAAAUGCAAAACAUAUCAAGUUAGAGGACUAGUAAGUAAUUUUACCAAUUUUAACAUAAUAUUACGUAUAAUUGAAAUACUCACAUGUAAAAUUUGGGAUUUUGGGGGAAGAAAUCGUCGAAGGAAAAAGGUUAGGGUCCAUUUGGAUGGAGGGAUUUGAUUUGGGGAAUGAAUUUGGAAUGACUCCAAUUUUGGAGUCAUUUGAAAUCCAUCACUAUUGCUCAAAAAUUAACUAAAAAUGACCUCAAUCCAUCCCUCCAUCCAAAUCCAAAUGCACCCUUACAGAUGGAUGAAGAAAUGGCGGCGAGGGUGUCACCGGAAGCAAAAUCGAAGCUGGAGAAGAAAUACCGCCUUCCAAUUUCAGUCCAAGCUUUUUCCCUGGCCGUCCAUGGCGUUCGAUUCUUCGAUUCCAAACAUCAGCCCGGUUAGUUUAUUUAUUUUCAAUUGCCUCACAUUGUUCAUAUUUGUUGAUUGCUUCGGAUAAAAUCGAUGAUAAGGAACCCUAGAAAUUUCGAUCAGGGUGUUAAAAAAAAAAUCGCGCCUUUUAUCACUAGAAAAUGUUAUGUGAUGAUAUAACAAAGAAAAAUAUUUUAAUUAAUUAUAGGAGAUGAAACCCUAGAAAAAAGUGUUGAAAUAUUGGAAUGUGCAUGCAAGCUGGUGCUAGAAAAAUUGAAAAACUGCGCCCACGAAAUCGAGUUCAAAGACAAGGCGUACGAGUUGCGCCGCGCCCUUGUCGAACUAAUUGAAUUGCACAGGGACAAGCACCCGGAUAGCCAAUUAUGGGUGGCUCGAUUGAAAUCGGAGCGCGAUUCCGCAUCAUUCUACAUGGGAGACUUCUUAUAUCAAUGGGACUUUGCGUUCGAUCUGUUUCUGGACGAAAGAACACCGAAAAAGAUUAAAUUGUACAGGGAAUACGCGUCGAACAUUGCUUCUCUAUACUGUCCUGUGCUGAAUAAGAGCAUCUUGAAGGAAUCGUCUGUCGUACCCCGUGAAAAGUCCCGUAACAUUGUUCGGUUUCUCGAUGAUAUACAAAGACAGCUAAUUAAACGUUUCAAGUGUCUCUUGACAGUCGAGGCGUGUCAUGUUGCUGAGGUUUUUUGUCCAUUUUAAUAUUUUAAUUUAUUUUUUGUUAAAUUGCAAGCUCUGAUUUUCGACUUCAACUUCAUGGAGGUGUAGGUGCUGAGCAUGCGGACUGAUGUCCCGCUCACGCAGAUUCUUCCGUCAAUUAACAAUCACAAGAGAAAGGCUAUUUAUAUGACGAAACAGAGGGUGGUGAAUCAAGAACGCGUGAUAAAUGAAAUUUACGAAACGUUGUCCGUAAGUGGGCCGAUUACUACCCGCCCUAGGGGUUCGUUUCUUCUUUUGGGUGGUUCUGGAGUCGGUAAAACGGAGAUCGCAAAGGCUGUUGCGCUUCAUUGGUAUUGUGAUGCGAGCAGGCUUGUGGAGAUAGAUAUGUCAGAGUACGCAGAGCCGCCUCAGUUGGAAUCAGCAAAUUGUGAUAUAGUUGAGUGGUAAGUGCGUUGAUUCCAUUAAUCAAGACUAUCGAUUUCGAAUUAUUAACCGCUUUUGUACCGAGCAACUUCUUUUUUAGGUCAAAGAGAAUGCAUCGUGAAUUUUGGAAUCGUCUUACUGAGAUUGUGGCGAAACGACCUUAUUCAGUUAUCCUUCUCGACAAAGUUGACAAGGCUUCCUCUAUUGUCGCAAGGGUUCUCGUUGAGGUUUUGAGUUACGGUGAUAGUAAGAGGAGCAUUGUUGACUUCUCCAACUCUAUUAUUUUUAUGACUUCAAGUGUGGGGUCCACACAACUUCCACCGUUGUUCUCUAGUACAAAUUGGAAUGAAGAUGUUUUGGAACAGCUUAGGCGCAAUCCAGUCGAAUUCUACAGGGCCCGUAUUUGUAAUUUAAGGGGCAGUGAGGAAAGAGUUCUUGCCGAGGUUGGCAUUUUUUUUUUAUAAAUAAAGUUGGUGCCUGAUUUCGUCAAUUGUAUGUGAGCGAAUUCCUUUUGUUUUGUAAUGGAAUCUGUAGGUGAGAAGAAUCUUCGAUGCUGAGCUGUUAAAUUCAGUUAAAAUUCUUGUCGUGAGGAGGUUUCAAAAUAACAAGGCUGUUGCGAGGCUGUUGCUUCGGGAAAUUGUUAGAGAUAUUUAUGGAGAAAGAUUUGUCGUGCAUGCGUCUAAUGCUGCAAUAGAUGCCUUAUUUCUCAAGGCACCAACCGUACAUGUAAGUAGUUUCUAUUGAGUUUAUUAUUUGCUAGUUCUUCGUGUUUUAAUUUAUUGAAGAGGAAGAAAUGUCUGCAUGUGAAUCGCUUCGUCUCUUUUAAACCGUAACUUCAUUCACCUUGUGAUCGUGUUUUUCUCGUUUUCUUUUUUUUUUUUUUGGUAGAUUGAAGCUGGAAAGGCUUUCCAAAAAGCAUUGCUCGAGCACGUAAUUCCACAAUUAGCAACCUCAAAAGGUGCAGACAAUGCUUCUGUAUAUAUUGAUACGUUAGUUGGAACUCACGAGCUAUCGUUCAGAUUCCAAGUACAUGGACAAAAUGCUCCCGAUUGGUACUUAAAGCUAGCAGAUGGGACAUUCGAUAAUUUGUUGGUCGGCUUAAAGAAGAAGGUUAAAACAGUGCAUAAGAUAUUCAACUUUCGUAGAGAAUGCUUGCGCAUGUUGCUUACUCCCCAUAGUUUAUUUUUGUUGGGGAAUUUAUUAGCAAAUUCUUGCGACGGGCUCUUAAAGUGUUGCUUGGGAGACAAACCACUAACAUGCGUAUUUAAAGAGGUAUGUUUAUUAUAUUGUUUAUAUUCCAUUACUUAUAUGUAUGUAUGUAUGUAUGUAUGUAUGUAUAUCGACUACACAACCAAAACACGUACACAUGCACGUAUGCAGAGAGCAUCUUGGGACAAUAUUCUUCCUACAAUUGAAGAGAAGAAGAAGAAGACGUUGAAAAGUCUUGUCGAAAAAUUGAAAAAAAGAAACGAUAGUGGUAUUGCUAAAGUAACUAGUGUGAUACUAGAUGCUCUAGUGAAGACGAGCGACGCUGCGUCAUUGGAAUCGCCUAAUUUGCCAGAUAAGCACUUCCUAAUUGGAGGUUUGAACGGUGGUGCUAAAGAAGGGCUGAUUAGUUCCCUUAACGAGUCGGUAGGGGAAUCGCUCUUCGUGUAUAUCAAAUUGGACGAUAAUUGCAGAGGCGAGGAAGUGAAGAAGCUUGUUAUCGAUGAAGUGAAGAAGAGGCCAAGUGUGGUCGUUUUGUUCGAUGGAAUCGAGUUUGCCGACGAUGUGAUCUAUAAGAGCAUACUCGAGAUUCUUGAUAAGGGUACACUCGAUGGUGACUGUGAGGUUGAGUUUUGGAGAAGUAUCGUUAUCCUUUUAACGGAUGUGGAAAAUAAACCUUGGAUUGCUGAGGCUAGGUUUAAUUGUCGACCGAAUGUUCCGUCUAGUAUGGCCGUGAAUCAGGUUUUUUUUUUUGUUAUUUCUUUUUACUUCUUUUUUUUUUAAUUUUCCCGAUAUCGGGAAGAAAAAAAAAAGGUUUGUUGAUAUUGGAUUUUUGUUUUGGUGUUUAUGUUUUGGCAGAGUGUGAAGAGAUUUAGGACGGAGUUGAUGCAUCGGGUGGAUGGGAUAAUUGUCUUUAACCCUGCGGCAGAGGACGACGACGGGCCUUUUCUGCGUAUUCCUGGUGGCAGCUGCUGCUUGAAUAAUUUGCAGUUAUUUCGUUGUGCCAGCUUUUACCACCCUGGUUUCUCUUUGUAAUGUUUGAACCAUUGCGAGUUAGUUGACAACACAUGUACAUAGUAAUAUUAACUUCGUCAAGUUCACCGAGUGUAAAUUCGACCGAGUGUAAAUUCGAAUAAAGCAAAAUAUAAGUCACACAAACACGCGCACACACAAUAGUCAAAUCGCAUCGCAAGUCCCUUACGCGCACACACAAUAGUCAAAUCGCAUCGCAAGUCCCUUACAACCGUUCGAAUCGGUGAAAUCAGAUUUUAUUUUUAUUUUUAUUUUUUAAUUUUAAUGAUUUUAAUUAUAGUGAAAUUUUAGGUUGGAAUUUUACGGGCCUCGAUCUCUUAUUUAGUUAUUUAUUUAAAUUUUAGAAAUCUCAUUACCAAAUAAGCCCUAAGUCGACCCUGUACUAACAUUUUGUAUUGCAUUCGUGUUUCUCGAUAACGCACUCAUUUUUCCCUUCUUUGGUAUAUUAAUUCCCUUCAUUUAUAUAACAAAUUUCAAUUUUUUAUUCGAUUUUUUGUCAAGUUGGAAUUUGCAAAUUCUGUCGAUUUUGAAUCGAGAAAUUUCAAUUGCGAAACAAGUUUUUUCAUUCCAAUAUUUGAAAAUUUGAAUUUCCGAUCCGUUCGAUUUUCAGCACUAUCUAUAACUACGACUUUAUAUACAAUAUAUACAAUAUAUAUAUAUAUAUAUAUAUAUAUAUAUAUAUAUAUAUAUAUAUAUAUAUAUAUAUAUAUAUAUAUAUAUAUAUAUAUUGUAGUUCUAAGCAACCGAAUCGUCAUCCUUAAUCUCACUCUCGAAACAACCGAUGUGGUAGAAACACUGACAGUCCGGAAAACCUUGCACAAUGUAGCCACAGGUAUAUCGUCGCAGCCUCGUCCUUGAUUCCGGAGGCCAGCGGCUCCACCAUCUCGGAGUUCCUGAUAAAGGAAACCAACCGCACAGCUCUAGAGUAGCAUUGCACACUGGGCACUCGAUACCGGCGUCAGUCUUUUUUCUUCUUCAUUUUAAUCUGUAAUUCAUGUAUCACCAACUGUGCAAGCGGUGUCCGCACUUGAAAACUUUGACGACUCCCAUUCGGCAUAUCCAACCUGAUAAAUCACGCAGAUGAUGUUCUUUUUCACACAUAUCCAACACAUAGCCGUGUAGGAGGAAGUGAUAGCGCACGCAUGCAUUCCACAAUUUCCUCCAACGCCUCAAGCUCGUCCAUCAUUCGAAAUAGUUCAUCUAUCCUUUCGUCGUUUGCCAUUCUUUUCCUAGAUUUCUUCAACAUUUGACAUGUCUCUCUGCGUUGCCUCUCGCUGGCAGCUGCCAUUUUUUUCUAGAUUUUGAUGGAGAGCUAGGGUUUGCAGUGGAUAUGGUUUAUCGGGGAGAGACUCGGCUUUUUGGGGUUCUGCGUGUAGGUCUACUAGGGUUUAUGUGUCCAUGUAUAUAUAUAUAUAUAUAUAUAUAUAUAUAUAUAUAUAUAUAUAUAUAUAUAUAUAUAUAUAUAUAUAUAUAUAUAUAUAUAUAUUGACUAAUCUUAUCUUGGCAACGAAACGAUGUCUUAGUCAAUUAUAACUGAUGAAAAAAUGAAGCAACGCAACUUCUUAAUAAUAUCGAUGGGAGUAAAAACCCAAAAAUGGUCACCUUGAACAAAUAGUCUAUCUCAAAUUGCUCUAUAUGGGAGAUGUAUAUGUACCUGAAUGAUAAGAAUUGAUUCAAGUUCAAUGUGAAAGGAAUCUUGGAAUUCCCCACAGUCGACUAAGUUAAAUACCUAUUUAUUAUCCCCACCACCAAACAUACCCAUAACAUCCUUAGCAGAACCCAUUUGCUUCAUCAAGCUUUGCAAGCCGCCCAUGCCGCCAAUCUGACUCAGCAUCUGAGGUGGCAGCGCCUUACUCAGUUGCUGCGCGUUCAUAUUUCUCGAUAGGGCGCUCAUUUCUCCCUUCUUCGGAAUCUUCAUUCCCUUCAUUUUCCCCCAAAUCUUCGCCAAACGUUUAUACUCUUCCAAUAGUUCCAUCACAUCCCUCAACGGACGCCCACACCCUCUAGCUAUCCGCAUUAAUCGAGACUCGUUCAUCAUCUUCAGAUUUGAACUAUCCAGCUCUGCAAUAGUUUAUAUGUUUUCUAAUAAGUAACAAAUAUAGCUCUAGUGGAAAUGGGUAUUUUGGUAAUUAAACUUGCCUUGAUUAGUCAUCGAGUCCAUCAUUGUCAUAUAUCUUUUAAUCUUAGCCUGGCUUUCCUUUUCACGUCCUUCGGGCAUCAACUCUUGGCUAAAUCCCGGAAGCAUGGAGAGUACCUAACGAAGAGAAAAUGAGGCUUAGUUACUUAAGCAGCAACCCGAAAAAAUUAGAAAUUUAUUGUCAAGAUAAUGGCGAUAUAAUCGAGUAAUUGUUUUCACAACAUUCUUGGGCAGUGUAUAUAACAUGCUAUGUCGUUAUUCCGAUAAUUCCUCUAUUGAGAGUUGAAGAUUAAAAAUGAAAUGAAGCUAACGGAACUCGAGUAGUGUAAACAUGGACUCACGAGAAAGAAAAGGGAUUAACCUGACUCAUAGGACCCAUUUUAAGUAAAGUCUGAAACUGCUCGUACAAAGUCCUGAAAGUAAAGUUGCCUUGAGAAAGCUUCUCCAGCUGUUGAUCCUUCGGAACCACUUCUUGAAUUCUUUCAACGAACCCAGACCAGUCGCCACCACCCAUGCCUAUAAUAAUAUAUAGAGAUACACAAGUAUUAAUGACUUAACGGCAAAAAAAAAUGUUUUGCAACAAACGAUGAUUAGGGAAUGCCAACCUAGCAGACGGUUAACAAAUGGCUCGACAUCAAAUACUUCGAACUCGUCCAUAUGUUCACCCGUGCCCAUAAAUAUCACUGGACUUUUUGUUGCUGCAACUCUGCAAAACAUGUUUUCCACAGUAAGCAAAUCAUCGAGUUUGGAAUAGUUUAAUUGAUAAAAGAAAUACAAUUUAGAUUCAUCUGGAAAUCUUUACCAGUAAUAUUCUAAUUAGAGUUUCUUACACCCUGAUACUAGAUACUAGAGACGGAUCCAAAACCAAACGAACUUAUAUCAGGAGAUAUUAUGUGCAUCAUUUGCAUAUUUAGCUAAUAUUAUCAUUAACUCGGAAAAAAAUGUAUAAGCUCUUUUUAUAACUUACGCACUAAGAGCACCACCUCCCUUAGCAUGCCCGUCCAUCUUAGUGACAAUUACAGCUCCAACCGCAACACUUUGCUUGAAUGCUUUAGCUUGAUCGAAUGCAGCUUGACCAAUACUGCUAUCCAUGACAAAUAUCACAAGAUCUGGUUUCUGGAAUUUACAAAUGAUAAUGUCAUUAUUAUUAGUAUUAUUAUCUUAUAACUAAGUCGAAAUUAGAAACAAAGAAACAGGCGAAGCACAGAAAAGCACACCGUUGCUUCAUAAACUUGACGCAUCUCUUCAAAAAGAGCUGCUUCCUGCAUGUGACGUCCACUGGUAUCAACAAUUAUGAGGUCACAGUUUUCCUUCUUAAACCUUUCAACCCCUUCUACAGCAAUGCUCACAGGAUCCGACUCCGUGUAGCUGUAAAAGAAUAUAUCAUUUCAUACUAGAGGACCAAAAGACAUUACAAUGGAAGCAUGAAACAGAAACAAGAAUCCAACUCCGAUGAAAUAUUCCAUAUUGCAAAGCCACCUUUUGUUUAAGAAUCAAUAUGCAUACUUAUCCUCACCUAGUAAUACAUACUCACGAGCAUAAAAUAAAUGCUCAUUCUGACAAAUUUAUCAAACUUCACUCUUAAUCUUCACAUAAACAGUUUCAUGGCAUUACUGAUUGACAAAUGCAACCUUUUGUACUUACUGGGCACUAAUGAAUUUAUAAACCCAAAAAAAAAAUUGCCGCUUUGAUUCACACAUUACUAAUCCCCGCAACAAAAAAAAAACAUCAAAAGAAUGUAAUCAUCCUUCAUUUUUCAUGGGAUAACAAGGAUUUUUUUAAACAAACACGAAGAAACUAAUCCACCAAAUCAUAGCGAAAAAAUGAUACCUUCCAUAGAAAGGAAUUUUGGCUUUAGUGGCAUUCUGCUUCAACUGGUCGAAAGCACCAGCUCUGAAUGUAUCUGCACAAACCAAGGCAGGUUUCCAUCCCUUCUUCUGGUGGAAGUAUGCAUAUUUGGUACAAGUCGUUGUUUUCCCCGACCCUAUAAUUAAAAAUCAAGCAUAUGUCAAAAUUUGACUCCUUCCUCUCAAGAUAUCAAAAUUUACGAUAUCAUGAAUAUCACAUGCUCAGUCCCAUUAAAUGUGUAUUUCAUGAUUAAACUGUGAGUCGAAAAGUUGAAAAUUCCACCCAGAAUGACACUAUAUACCACGCAUAGAUUACUAAUACAAAAUAAACAAUAUAGUUUAACAUCAUACCUUGCAACCCAACAAACAUAACAACGCUAGUUUUCCCUUUCUUGGGAGCGAACGAAGGCUUCCCUGGAUCCAAUAUCUUGCAUAGCUCCUUCAAAAUAGCCUACAAAAGGGGGGCACUAAAUUCUAUAUUAUAAAUAAACAUAGCAACUCACUAGUCAAAACUAUCUAAACAAAAUCCUCACACUCGCAGUCAAACGGAAAUAAAAACACAAAUUUAAUUACUCAAUCCCAAAGCAAAGCAAAAGCUAAUUGCAUCAAGAGACUCGUGAUUUCGUCUUAUGCUAUCAUAUCCUCAAUUUUCCCUCUUUCCGAUUUUCGACAAACAAACGCAUAAAACACAUCCAAAUUAUUGAAUUAACAACGCUACAUUAAACACUGAGACUGAAAAACCACACCCUCAUUUUAUUAAAAUAAAGCAGGGAAAAAUGAAAAAACUUUGUGCUGAUCAAAUUCCAAAAUUCCAAAAUUCAAAUCGGGGAAACCUGUUUGAUAAUGUUGCGUUUAUUAUGGCCGGCGGCGAGAGCGUCGAAAUCGACGAUCUUCUUGAUAUUGGUCUGCAUAUUGCGAACGAGCGUGAACUGCACGUCAGCUUGAAGGAGUGCGCGCGUGAUCUCAUUGAGGCAAUCAUUCAAAACCUUCUCGUCGAUGAUCGUCGCAUUGUUCAUCUGCUGAAUCGCGCGCGAAAUGCUGCCACCUAAUUGCGCAAGCACCAUUUUUACUGAUUCACGGUCGGAAUUGCGAUUAGGGUUUGUGGAAAACUGAUUUUGCUUUAGAAAAUGGGGUAAACUGAUGAAUCGUAUAAUUUUAGGCGUUUUUCCUAUAUUUUAUUGCACUGCAUAUAUGUAUUUAAAGUUUGGAUUAAUUUCUCUUAUACCCUUAUAUUAUACAUAUUGUUCACUUACCUCCUUUAUAUUAUUUUAAUCUUCACUUUUACCUCGCAUGUAAUAUUAACACCUUUAAAUACCCCCGAAAUCAAUUUGUUUGUCAAUAAUGCCCUUUCUCAAUUUUAUAAAGGGGUCUUAAGAUAUAGGUCCCUAGUGACAAAACUAAUUAGAACUAAAUGACAAGCUCAACUAAACAUUUGUUUCAUAUAUUUUAUUAAAUUCAUUCCGAAAUCUUUCACUCAUCUUUAUUUUUUCAAUUUACACUCUGCAUUUGUUUAUAUUAUUAUAAACAAUUUUUUUUCUUCUUUUUGUUAAAUAAUUCAGCAGAUUUCAAAAAUACUAUGGUAUACUAUGUUAUACUAUGGUGUACUAUCAUUUCUACAUUAUUAUUAAAAAAUAUUUUUAUCUACAAUAUUAUUAAAAAUUACAAAACAAAACUUGUUUUUCCUUUUUGUUAAUUCAGUAUAUAUAUAUAAUAUUUUAUUUGUUGUAAUACUAUAGUAGACUAUGGUAUACUACGGUGUACUACCAAACCCUAGCCACCGCCAACACACAACCCUCGUCAACCCUAGCCGUCAACGUCAAACUCUAGCAGCCAACGUCUACAGCCGUCGCAACCGUAACCUACCAACUUUGGGAAAACCUAGAUUUACGAUUUUGAACCCAAAUCGAGAAAAAUCUCUUGAAGAUCAAGAUCGAAUCUCUACCAUAACUACAUCCCCGCCGCCAUCUCAACCACCACAGCCGGCCGCCAUCUCGACAACCACACCCACCGGCGCCGAAUCCUCCACCACAGCCCCCGCCGCCGCCCACAACACCUCGCCGCCAUCUCAACCACCACAGGUCACCGCCGCCUCCUCCACCCCAGCCCCUCGUCGCCGCCUCUUUCACCCCAGCCCCCGCCGCCGCCCACAACACCUCGCCGCCAUCUCAAAACAAAGCCGAUCGCCGCCACCUCCUCCACCCCAGCCCCCGCCGCCGCCCACAACACCUCGCCGCCAUCUCAAAACACAGCCCGCCGAUGCCGCCUCCUCCACCACAACCCUCGCAGCCGCCUCCUCAUCCACCACAACCCUUGGCUUCGACUAUUACCUAAUUAAUUAGCAAGAGAGAGGUAUAGAGAUAGAGAGGUGAGAGAAAGAUGGAGAAAAAAAACGAGAUUGAAAAAAGAGAUUAGAGAACGUGUGAGAGAGGGACGGAGAGAGAGAGAGAAACCAAAAGAACGAAAUAAAUCUGAAUUGUAGAAACGAGAAUAUGUAGGUUAUAUAAUUUAGGGUAUAAGGGCAAGAUAGGGAUUAAAAAAAUUAGGGAUGUGGCUCAUAUAUUAUUUUAAAUUAAGGACUUAAUUAAAAAAAUGAAUUUGAACUUGUCAUUUAGUUCAAAUUAGGUUUCGUUUGAGGGGCUCAUAGCAUAUUACCCCUUUUGUAAAAUCCUUUUUUUUUUGUACUUUUUUUUUUGCAUAAAAUUUAGGGUAAAAAACUCGUUUAAUCUAAUUUCGUGGAGGUGAGAAACUAAAAAUCUAGGGUUUCACUAAAAGAAAUCUAGGUGUAGACACAUAAAAUUAAUUAAUUGGUUAAUUAAAUUAGCCAAUUAAAUUGUGUCUAAAUUAAAUUAUGGCUUGUCUUGGAAGACAAGUAAUGGAGAUAAAUACCAGUUAAUUAUUGACCAAUAGGAUUGUUUAUUUUCUUCCAAGUUAUAAGAGAUAAUUAUCAAUUUAAAGAGAGCCAAUCAAAUCACGCCACGUCAUCAAGAAUAUUUUAUGUAGGACUUUUAUUCUACCACUAUAAAUAGAGACCCUCCCUACACAAUUCAACACACAACUCAAGAAGAAGAAAAACCGUAGGAGAAAAUUCUCUCUACAAUAUUCAAGUCGUUCUUCAUCAAAUUAAGGGUGUUCUUCAACCAAUCAAGAUCGAAGGAAGAUUGAAGGGCCAAAUCCAUCAAGAACUCCAAGAUCUUCAAGUCAAAUCUCGAAUAACUCCAAGAUCUUCAAGUUAAAACUCGAAGAACUCAGAUCUUUAAGUCAAAGCCCGUCAAAGUUCAGCGUUCGAUUCGAGAUUCAAGUCGCAAGACCCUUGGAAGACGUUAUUCAAAUCCAAAUCAAAUCCAGAGAAGAUCAAGUCAACGACCCGACUCUGAAAUUCAAAGUGAAACACAUAUUUUUCAUGAGAGAAGAAUUAGAGGAUUAAAUUAGAGUUUGUAACCCGCAAUAUUUUAUUUUAAUUCAAUAAAAUUAUUUUUGUGCAAGUUUUUCUUGUUUGUUUAAAUCGCAGAUAAGAAUCUGUUGCUACACUAUGGUUUCUUCAGGUUAGAUUAGGGUUUAACAUUAUCACCCGCUAGAAGAAUCGUUGCAAGAAUCAAUGGAGGAGGAAUUGCUAAAGGUGUUGAAAGGAGCAAAACCGAAGUUGGAGAAGAAAUAUACCGUUCGGAUUUUGGUCUGCGCUCUUCGUCUCGCCGUUCACGGCGUUAAAUACUUCAAUUCCGGCAAACUGAUCUCCGGUUAGUUGAUUAUUUUUAAUUCUCUGUAAUUACGAUUGAUUAUGUUUUUUUUUGUUUUUUUUUUUAUUUUAUUUGAAUCAAAAUUUCUCAACGAAUAAUUUUUCAGAAAAAUCAACCUUCGAAAAAGGUCUCCAAAUUUUGGACGGAGCAUGCAUGAUGGUGGAAAGCAAACUCAGAAAUUGUGUCCACGAGAUUGAAUUCUACGAGAAGGCGUAUCAACUGCAGCGAGCGCUUGUCGAACUAAAUGAGUUACACAGGGAGAAUUAUCCGGCUACCCAAUCGUGGGUGAAUCGCCUAAUUCUGGAACGUGAUUCUGCAGCACUGUACAUGAAAGAUUUUUUACUGAGAUGGAAAAACGUUACGACUUCGUCUUUGUUCGAUUGCGAUAUGCUGGACGAAUUAAUUAUUACACCAUGGAGUAGUAGAGUGGCCGAUGAUCAGUUUCUGGAUGAUAUACGAGGCGAGCUAAUCGAACUUUUCCAGCCUAUCUUGACAGUCAAGGCUUGUCAUGUUGCCGAGGUUUCUUUCUUGUCAUUUUAAGCAACUUUAGUGCUUCGUACUGUCGGUUUUUACUUGGCAACUUUUCUUUGAUACUUUGUUCUUAAUACGUUUGUUCAAUUGUUCUAAAUUUAUGUUAUUACACAUCUGAUGUAUACGACCCUAUGCAUUUAUUAGGUGGUGAGCAGCUUGACUGAUGUCCCGCAUACUCAGAUUCUUUCGCAUAUUACCAGUCAGAUGGAAAAGGCCAUAUAUAUGAUUGGCAAGAGGGUGGUGAAUCAAGAACGGGUGAUUAAUGAAAUCUUUGGAACGUUGGGCUUGCAUAGAGAUAUGGUUACGCGCCCGAGGGGUUUGUUUCUUCUUUUAUAGACAUGGUAAAACGGAGAUUGCAAAGGCUGUAGCAGAGCACUGGUAUUGUGAUGCAAGCAGGCUCAUAGAGAUAGAUAUGUCAGAGUAUGUGGUGGAGGAAUCACCACCUUGUGAUUUAUCUGAACGGUAGUUCAUAUACUUCUCAAAUAAUUUGUUUUCCGGGUUUUCUAACCCAUUUUGUAUCUAUCAUGCUCGUGAACAUUUUUUGUUUUAGGUCAAAAAUGAACCAUCAGGAUUUGUGUUUGUGGAAACGUUUUACUAGUAUUGUGGCAAAACGUCCUUACUCGGUGACUGUAACAUGUGGCGUCGGAGGGUGUCCGGUUGUUUUCAAUCUGUAUACAGAAAUUGUCCAGUUUUUUCUGCCGCUAAGGCCAGAUCAUGAGGAGUUCAUGCCUCCAUAUGAUGGUGGUGGUGAUGUUGUUUGGAAUGAACCGCCAUUGAUUUUGCAUAGAAUUGUUGAGAGGAUUAAUUUGGUCACAAUCAAUUCGUUGGUUCACUCGGUUCCAAUUGAGGCAUAUGGGGAGACAUCGGUUUCUCAGGGAGGCCACCAUGAGUGGGACGACGGUGAAGAUUUCCCCUAAAGCGACGUCGCCGUCGGCUGUGGGUAAAAUAAUUUAUCUCUCUCCCCCUCUCUCUCUCGCUCGUACUGAACUUGGCAUUAAAUUUUGAUAAAGAAAACUAAACCCCGAGAGAGGGAGAGGGAAAAGGGAGAGUCUCCCUCUCAAUCUCUCUCCCUCUCUCACUCGUACUGAACUUGGCAUUAAAUUUUGAUAAAGAAAACUAAACCCCGAGAGAGGGAGAGGGAGACACGGCCACGUGCCGGUUUUAGGCCCGGAACCGGCCCAACCCGUUGACCGGUGAACCGGUCCGGGACCCGUGAACCGGCCCCUCAUCCCCGGGACGGGCCCGAUUCUAUGAAUUGGUGAACCGUGAACCGCCGGGCCAGCUUGGUGGUUCACCCAAAUUUAAAAAAAAAAAUCAAAAAAGUUCAAAAAAAACAAAAAAGGGCCGGUGAACCGGCCGUUAUUUGCUAUUUUUUGAAUUCCCCCCCCCCCCCCCAUUUUUUCUUAUAAAUACCCUUACACCCCAUUUUUUCAUAUAAAAUUAAGUUAAAGUCAUUUUAUUUAUUUCUUUUAUUUUUUUCCUAUUUAAAAGUAAUUAAUUUAAUUUAUUUAUCCAUUAAGUAUUUUUUUUUUAAAUAUGUAUAUAUAAAUCAAAUUUUUCGGCCCGACCCGUGAACCGGCCCGGAUAGGCCCGGAACCGGAUUGAACCGGCGGGCCGACCCGGCCAGUCGAACCGUGCAUAUUACGGGCCGGUUCCGGUUCCGAAAAAAUUGAACUGUGAACCGGUAUGAACCGGCCCGUGAUCGUGUCUAGGGAGAGGGAGAGGGAGAGGGAGAGGGAGAGUGAGAGUAAGAAAGUAAAAAUAAAAUAAAAUAAGAGAAAAGAAAAUAAAUUAUUUUACCCACACCCGACGGCGGCGCCGCAUUAGGGGAAAUCUUCGCCUUCGCCCCACUCACGGGGGCCUCCGUGAGAAACCGAUGUCUCCGCAUAUGCCUCAUCUGGAAUCAAGUGAACCAACGCAUUGAUUAUGCCCAAAUCAAUCCUCUCAACAAUUCGGUGUAAAAUCAGUGGUUGUUCAUUCCCAAUUACAUCACCGCCACCACCAUAUGGAGGCAUGAACUCCUCAUGAUCUGGCCUUAGCGGCAGAAAAAACUCGACAAUUUAUGUAUACAAAUUGAAAACAACCGGACACCCUCCGACGCCACAUGUUACAGUCACUGCGCCUGAUUCUCUCUGUUGAUUAACACACACAGUGUGGAAAUAGUGCGAACACAUCAACACCAUGUGCUCCAACUCGUGACUCUCGAGUUCCCCUCUGCAAUUCCCACAAGGCUCCGAGUCAAUAUUCUCUAUUAUAGCUUUGAACUUUACAGGUGUCAAAUCAACGUUGAAUUUACCCUUUCUUUUCCCCUUUCCUCCUCCUUCUCCCUAUACCACCUUGCCCUUCCCCUUUUCCUUUCUCUGCCGCCGCCUAACCCUCGGUGGAGAGUCGAACUCCAUUCCGGAGUGGGGAAUGUAUCCAAACAUGCCAUUCAAAAACCAAAACGUUUCAGAUCCACCGGACAUCUCAGAGGCUCCAUCACCCUGCCCUCCUUUCUGUCUUUCUCCCACGCCGCUGCAAUUUUUUCGAAACAGGCUUCAUGAAAAAUGUGCUCACACUUCAACUCCAACAAUUCCUCGAAACACACGAAGCAAGCUAUAACUUCCGAUUCGACGAAGGUGUAGUAGCAUACCGUACAUCGGGUGUUUUUCUCGUUGUAUAUCACCUUAUCGGAAUCCGACACGAACAAAUUCCGUACGCUCAAAAUCGCACCUUCUCGAAUCCAAUCCUCUCUCUCUUCCUCCGAUACAAACAUGAAUCGAACGUGAGAGGGGAUUGAAUCUUCCUCCUCGACAGAAAUGAGCGCUUCUAUCAAUGCCUCCAUUACUUGUUUUGUUUCAGAUGAGAGAGAGAGAGGGUGUUUUUUUGCGUAGAGAACGGUGGACUGUGUGCAGGGUGGACUGUGUAUGUUUUGUGGGAGGGGGGGGGGGGGGGGGGGAAAGGGAGAGACGAAGAAUAUAUUAUAACAAAUUCUGGGCGCGUGGGGCUCCAUUUCAUUUUCGUUUUUAUAUUUUAUAUAUGGGGUUAUUUUAUAGAUCCCCUCAUUUCCAAAUUAUAUAUUACUAACUACCAAGUGGAUUACACUCUAGGGGAAACCCCUUUCAUUUCGAAAAUAUUUUGACAUACCCUCCUGUGCUACCCUGAAGUUCAUAUAUACCUUUUUAAAAUCAGUUCUAACCCUAGCCACUCACGGUCUCUCUCUUCUUCUCCCAAAUUCAAAAUAUCGCCUUCACAAACCUCCCACUGGCGAAAUUGCUUCCCGUAGCCAUAACUCUCUCUCCGGUGGUCGGAUUUUGAUGGUUUAACUACCGUUGGAUUCCUCUCGUCGAGCUCUUUCUUUUGGUGAUGAUUUCAUUCAGUUUCGAGCGCUGAUCUAUUUCUGCAAUUUUUUCAUUCGAGGACGGUGGUCUUGCCGGAGCAUUAUUUUGUGUUCCACCCGUCAAAAUUUGCCGGGUCACCCAUCGUUGGAUUCGUCUCGUCGGGAUCUAUAUUUUGAUGGUAAUUUCGUUUAUUUUUAUGUUUUCAGAUUUAUUUCUAUAUUUUUUUGUAUUUGUGGGCGCGCGGAACUGUGGGUGGUUAUUAGCGGCGUCUAGGGUUUUGGUAGGAGGCAAGGGGGGUGAGGAGUCACUGUCUAUUUGAUUUAAAAUCUGUAGCAUUUCUCAGCAAUAACCUCUCUUUCUAUCUCUCGAUCUCUUAGUGUUUGUUGAUUUUUGAGUGUUUUGAUAUUUUUCUUCAAAUUUUGUUGAUUUGCACUAAAGUAAUUUCUUUUUGUUUUUGAUUUUGCAAUUGCAUCUUAAUGAAGGCCAUUGAUCCUUUCCUUGAAGGUGUCAAAUUUUUUUUUUUAAGUUACAUCUGAUUUGUUCAACAGACUGUAUACAUUACUAUAAUAACAUGUAGUUACAUAUGCGUAUAUUUAUGUAUUUUCGAUUUGUAUUUUUUUGGUUCUGAUGUGAUUUAUAAUAAAAAUAUUGAAAUUUGUAAAUUUUUGUUGGGGUUUUAUUAAUUUAUUUUGUAUAAGUCAGUAUUCGUGUGUGUAUACAAUUGAUCGACUAAAAAUAUGAGGAAAAAAACGAACAUAACUAUGAAUUACUAUAGGUACUAUAGUCACAUGUAGUUAUUUUCAGUACUGUAAACAUAUUGUUUUGAAAAUUUAAAAAAAAAAUUAAUAUAUAUAUAUAUAUAUAUAUAUAUAUAUAUAUAUAUAUAUAUAUAUAACAAACAGGUUUAUAAAAAAAUAAAAAAAUAAAAAAAUAUAAAAAAAAAUAAUAAAUAAAUCAGCGAAAAUGAUAAAUGCAAGGUAUGUCAAAAGAUGAUUUGGGCUUGGGUUAUCCCUAGUUUAUUUGGUGACUAGGGGUAUGUAAAAUAAUCUCUUUAGAGCAACUCCAACGGGGUUUAAAUGGGGUAUCAAAUCCCUUAACCUCCAUUUGACUCCCCAAAUUUAAAAAGUCUAUCCUCCAAUGGGUUUAUUAAAAUAGGGUUCUAUUUUGAUAACUCAAAUAUCGGGAAGUAAAAAUAUAUCCUAAAGAAAUAAUUAUCAAAUAUUCUCCUAGAAAAUAGGAGCACAUGAAAAAAGAAAAACCUCAACAAAAUUGAAUUUUCUUUUCUUUACGUAAAAAUCUCAACAAAAUUAAAUUAAAUUUUCUCUACGUCUUCAAUAAAUUUUCACUGGAAAAAAAAAUCUCAAAAAAAUCUCAACAGAUUUUCUUUUUCUAGGUCUUCACCGAAUUUCCACGGAAAAAAAAAAUUCUUCGUAUAAAUAAUAAGUUUGCCACAUCAAAAUUCUCCACACAAUCAUCCAAGGCCGACUCGGUGUAUUAAUCACCAUUGAAGACACUUGCAGUAAUUUCUAGAUUUUCUUAAUUUUUUAAUAUUUUUUAUGAUCAUAAACUCUAAGCACUUUUUAAUACUUUUUUAAUUGUUUAUGAUUGUUUGAGAAUCGUACUUCUUUACAUUGCUUGCACGUUAAUGAUAGUAAAUUUAGAUGAAGAUAUAUAGAUAAUUAAUCACUACAUAUACAUAUAGAUUAAAUCUUAUGAAACUUUAACAUAUUACAGUGACUAAAUAGUAAAAAAAAUUAUUUAUUGAUAGUCUAAUUAAAUAAAAUAAAUGGUGAAUUUGUUCAAGAACGUUGGGAUGUGCUUGAUGGUGUGAUGAGGUGAGCUAAUUUUCUUGUUUUUCCUCUUCCACUUUUUCUGUAGAUGGAUUCAAAUUACUAUGGGGGUUUCACUAAUCUCGUUAAUGGCGAUAUGCCGGCGUACGAAGAAAGCUCUACGAUCAACUCCACUAUAGAUGUGGGAACACAACUGAAGUCGAAGUUUCAAAUAAACAAAAAAGUUCGACAAAUUUCUCUCGUGAAGAGGAUGUUUGUAUUGUUUCGGCAUGGCUAAAUACAAGUAAAGAUGCUACUCGUGGAAGUGCUCAAACAUCUACCAUGUUUUGGAAGAAGAUUUAUGAUCAAUUUGUAAUGAAUUGCGGUCAACGAGUGCGUACGGAGCAAAGCAUAAAACAACGUUGGCAUGAUAUAAAUGCUAAAUGUGCAAAGUUUAUUAGUUGUCUUAAACAAAUUGAUAAUAGGCAUCAAUCUGGUCAAACUGAUCAUGGAAGGGUAAUACACUCAUUUUAUUUUCUCUUUUCAACUAUUCAUAUUGAUAUUAUUAUUUAUUUAUUUUAACUUUUUUUUUUCAUAGUUAGAAGAAGUGAGAAAAAUGUAUGUUGCCACCAAUAAACAUCAAUUCAAGUUUGUGCAUUGUUUAGAUCUUUUGAAACAUGAGAGGAAGUGGCUUGUUACUUGUGAAAGAAAUAAGUAGGGAACUACUAGUUUUGAAAAUCUUGAUGGUGUCUCAAUCCCAUCAGAAAAUCAAAAUGGAUGUUUUGCUAAUAAGGAUCGGCCUUCGGGUAAAAAAUCUUCAAAAGAAAAAUUGAAGAGAAAAGAAAAAGGUUCAGAAGGUGAAAAAUCAUCUACAAUGUUACUUAUAAAUGAGCGUUGGGAAGAGAAGAUGGCUUUAGAGCGCGAAAAAAUGAUUCAGCGCGAGAGGCUUAUAGCAUCGAAUGAAAAUGUAAAAUGCAUAGAAGAAGAGCGCGUCAAUAACGAAAUUAUGUUGAAAGACACUACUGGAAUGGGGGAAACUGAAGCAGCUUAUUGGAAUUUGAAGAACAAUAACGUAUUGAGAAAGAAUGAUAUAAUAUAAUUAGUUUACUUUUGAUAAUAAUGCUAUUGUGCUAUUUCUUACAAAAUAAUGCUAUUGUGCCAUUUAUAAUAACAGACUACAUAGGAUUAUUUUUUUUUAAUUUAUUUACAAAUUUUGUGUUUGUCUUACAUUUACAUGGUUUGAGCAUAUUGCUAUGAGAAAGAAAUGAAAGUUCAUUUUAAAAAAGUCAUUUCCACACCUUUAUUCUUACGUAUGCAAAAUGAAAAUAAUAUACCAUCGGUUUUAUUUAAAUAAUAGAAAAGAAAUGUCAAGUGCUAAUUUAUGAAAUGCAAUGUAAAAAAAAUAAAGUAAAAAUCAUGAUCGUUCUAUAUAAUGUAAAUUAAGAAUGAUCUUGACCGUGUAAAUUCCAUAAAUGUUCAACAAGUUCGUGCUGGAGUUGAGAAUGAAUUGUACGAUCUCGUAUUUGAUGAUGUGUGUGAAUAAAUUCCAUAAACUCAUUUGUGCCCUCACAUGAAUGUCGUACAUUUGGAGUUAAGUCAUCAAAAUCAGUACUACCCGGGCCAUUUUCAUCUUCGAUAACCAUGUUAUGCAUGAUAAUACAUGCUUUCAUUAUAUAAGAUAAUGUCUCCUCAUCCCAGAACCUUGCUGGUCCACGCACAUUAUUAAAACGUGCCUGUAGUACCCCGAGAGCUUGUUCUACGUCCUUUCUAGCAGAUUCCUGGGAUUGUGCAAAAUAUUUGGCUUUUAAACCUAUUAGAGCUGGUAUUGUUUUUACAAAAGUAGCCCACGAAGAAUAAAUGCCAUCAGCUAGAUAAUAGCCCAUCGAAUAAAUAUUCCCAUUUAUUGUAAAACUAAUAGGGGGACUAUGGCCAUUGGCUAAUGCUAAAAAGAUGGGAGAUCUUUCUAAAACAUUAAUAUCGUUUAGCGAUCCCGGCAUUCCAAAAAAAGCAUGCCAUAUUCAAAGAUCAUGCGAAGCAACGGCCUCUAAUAUAAUAGUUGGUGUGCGACAAUGACCCGUAGACAUACCUUGCCAUGCAGUUGGACAAUUUUUCCAUUUCCAGUGCAUGUAAUCGAUGCUCCCAAGCAUCCCUGGAAAUCCACGUUGCUCGUUGACUUGCAAUAAUCGAGAUAAAUCGUCCUGAUUUGGUGCUCUUAAGUAUUUUUCGCUGAAAAUGGCAACAAUCGCUUUCACAAAAUGUCGUAAACUUUCAAUAGAAGUACUCUCACCUAUGCGUAUGUGGUCAUCCAAAAGAUCGGCAGGAACUCCAUAUGCGAGUAUUCUAUAUGCAGCAAUUACUUUCUGAAGAGAUGAUAAACCAGAAACGCCUAGAGCAUCAUUUCUUUGAACAAAAUAGGGAUCGUAGGCCUCAACGCUAGAAAGAAUCCGAGAGAAAAGGGGUCUGUGCAUACGAAAUCGUCUCCUAAAAUAACCUGCAUGAUACGUAGGAUUAUCAGAAAAUAAUCACAAUAGAGUCUUUUGUGACCUUCGACUUUGUCACGAUUGACUACGCUUCGACCCAGAACUGACACACGCGGUAGUGCCUAUGUUGUCUUUCUCUCUCCAAUUCCUCCUCUUCGACAACCGUUAGCAACAUUUCAAGAUCAUCGGAAUCCGAGUCGGAUAAGAAAUCCAUUAAAUGAAUGUGACCAUGCAUGGUGAAAUAACUAAAUACAAGAUAAUGGAGUUUUAAAACAAGUGAUGUAGUCGAGGAUCUACAUCACAAACAUGUUAUUAUAUAUUAUAUAGAGGCAAAAAUAUAGAAUUAAUGUAACCAAAAAUUAUGAAGAUAUGACUUGAAGAAAUCAAACUAAGACUUUGUCAUAAAUUAUUUAAUUUAUACGUAAUAAUAUUUUUGGUACAAUUCAGUCAAAGUAUUGCGGAUUUGUGGAAAAUUUGAAUUGUUCAAUUAUAAAUCUCAGUUGUGGUAUAUCCACAUGCACAUGAUAAACCUUUUUUUUUCUCUUUGAAAAGGUAAAAACUUGAUUAAUAUUGAUUUUGAUGAAAUUUUACCACAAAAAUCGGUUUGUAUGAUUAUUUAAAAUGAAUUACAAAAUAAAUAAUAUAUAAAUAAUCAUAAUUUUUUUUGAUAAUUAUUUUUUGAUACUUGUGGUUUGAGUUCACUAGUUGUAUAGAGAUAUCAAAAUAUAAUCCUAGUUAUCAAAUGAGUAUUUGAUAACCCCAUUUGAUAACAAUGGGUUGGAGUUGCUCAUAUAUAUAUAUAUAUACAUAUAUAUAUAUAUAUAUAUAUAUAUAUAUAUAUAUAUAUAUAUAUAUAUAUAUAUAUAUGAGUUUAUGGCAUAUACUACCCUUGUGUUAUCUCUAAUUGGCAAAUAACCCCCUGUGAAAAAAAAACUCACCAACACCUCCUUGUGUUAUCAUUUUCGAAGCACACUGCACCCUUUGUGAUUUUAGGCUUUGACUGAAUGUAAAAUGACAAAAAUGCCCUUGUGGAUUUUUGCAGCAAUUAAUAAAACAUAUUAUAAUUUUAUAAAUAUUAUAUAUAUAUUUUUUUAAAUAUUAAAAAAUAUAUAUAUAUUUAAACAGAAUGAAAUAUAUAUUAUAACAUUAAAAGUUUUAAUAUAUUUUCUAUUUUCUAUUUUUUUUUAUUUUACAUUUCUAUAUUAAAUAAAGAAAAGAAAAGAAAAAACAAAAAAAAAAAAAAAAAAAAGCCUUUUUCUUCCCCACCGUUUCUCCAGGGCUGCCACUUCUGCUCCGCCGCAGCUCACCACCAUCUCACCUCUCCUUCACCACCACCACCACCAUCUUCUCUAGAUCCGCGGUCGACCAAUAAAUUUUAGUUUAUUGAAACUUUAGUUUCCACCAACAAACUUUACGCGGGCCUCAAAGAUUUCCCCAAUCUCUUAUUUUGACGGCGGUGGUGGGCGAUAAGGAAGAGCAAGAGAAGAGAAAGGAACACAAAGACGCAAUUUCGGACCUAGCAGGUUCGGCCAUUAUCAAAAUCGUCGCCGUUGAGAGAAAUCGCUUGAAGAUGUUAGAUAGGCCAUUGCUGUAAUUGGGGGUUGUAAUUAGGGCUGAAUUAGCCUCGGGUUAUACGGAUUUGGGUCUAGUAUGGGGAUUGUAGAAGAUGAGGUGGUGGUGCUGAACUUCUUCUUCUCUUGUCGAGGUUGGGGUUUUGGGGUGGGGAAUGGGGGAAGGAAGAAGACGAUGUUCAGUCUUCUUUUUCCUUUUUUUUUCUUUUUUUUUUUAUAAUAUUUUUCUGCAUUAUUAUUUUAUUUUGCAAUUCUGAAAAUUACAAUUUGGUCCUAUAAAUUUAGUUUAUUCAUAAUAUAACCAACAAGAUUAUUUUUUAUUUUAUAAAGGGGUACUUAUGACAUUUCACCCUAAAAAUACCAUUAAAAAUCGCUCAACCCGCGAGUGUGUGACACGAUUUGCGUCCAGGGGUGUCGAUGCCUUGACUUUGUUAACACAAGGGGGUGUUGGUGAGUUUUUUUUCCACAGGGGGGAUUUGCCAAUUAGAGAUAACACAGGGGUGGUAUUUGCAAUUAGCCCAUAUAUAUAUAUAUAUAUAUAUAUAUGUAUUUAUAUAUAUAUAUGUAUAUAUAUAUAUAUAUAUGUAUUUAUAUAUAUAUAUGUAUAUAUAUAUAUAUAUAUACACGAUCAUCUGUUAUUACUAAAUUACCCUGCAAGAUACUAAACUAAACCGCCUAUUCCCAGUCACACACUCUCUCCUUUAAUUAACCAAUUAACCACAAGUUUUUUUUUUUUUGAUAAUGCAGGAACCCGCAGCCAACCAUAUAGGUGCACUGGGUAAACCUACACUCUCGUAUAAUAGCUUGCAAACCAUACGAGAGAUUUAAACCACACUAGGCUAACCAUGUGUGACAAGCUCGACCUAGCGACCGUUGUCAAGGGGAUUCGAACUUGGGUCAAUUAACCACAAGUUUAACUCCUAACUAAAUCUGUGACUAAACUGGGGUAAAACUUGAGGGAUGAAAAUGAGAUUUAUCUUAUUUGACCAUUGAGGAUUCUAUUUGACCAUUGAGGAUUCUGACAAUUCAAAUUUUUUUAUAAUUUUUUUUUUCUUAAAAAAAAUAAUAAUUAAUAUUAUUGUCUUGGCUGCUAAAUUACUGUCUUCGGCAGUUAUUUAACUGUCGGAGACAGUAAUUUAACUGUUAAUUGAUUUUUUUUUUCUUCAAAAAUAUUUUAAUUAAUAUUACUGUAUUCAUUGCUAAAUUACUGUCUCCAACAGUUAUUUAACUGUUGGAGACAGUGAUUUAACUGUUAAUUGACUUUUUUAUUCUUAAAAAAAAUAUUUUUAAUUAAUAUUACUGUAUUCGUUUGUUAAAUUACUCUCCAGCAGUUAUUUAACUGUCGGAAACAGUAAUUUAACUGUUAAUUGACUUUUUUUUUUUCUUUUUUUUCUUAAAAAAAAUAUUUUAAUUAAUAUUACUGACUUGGAUGCUAAAUUAUUGUUUUCAACAGUAAUUUAACUAAAAUAUUUUUUUUCUAGGAAAAAAAAUUUUAAAAAAAAAAGUCAAUACCGGAGACCGGCGGUCAACGGUGGUUGACCGGCCGGAAAAAAAAAGUCAACGCCGGAAUCAGGCCGGUAAAACAAUAUCUCUGAAAAAAAAUUAUUUUCUGAAAAAAAAAGUCUUGGGGGUUAAUAUGAUAUAUUUGUUUAAAUACGGGGUCAAUGUGUAAUAUUAAGGAAGUUAGAGCAUAAUGGGUGGAAUUGAUAAGAACUAUAUUAUUGAGGGUAUUUUAGACUAAAGACAUGGGGAUGGGUUUAAUUGAGAGACUGUUUUUUUUGUGCACCAAAAUGUUUUUAAGUCCCAUGUGAUGGGCAUUUUUGCCAUUCGCCCUAUAAAAUUAUCAAAUUAGAUCAAUUUCAUUUUUGUCCCCUGGAUCUUGAAGGGCAAUGUGGGUAUUAAGUAAAAUAUGUUUGAGGUGGCAAAAUUGGGCAUGAGGAUGAUAUUUAAGUAAAUUAGAACUUCAGGGACUAAUUUGAUUUUGAUGGUAAACCACAGGGGUGAAAAUGAACUUUACCCUACUACACUGCAUUCCAAGAAAGAAAAAAGAAAAAUAGUACCAUAAUCUAGCUAGAUGCAUAUAAAUAAAAUUUCUUUUACUUGGGGCAAAAACUGAAUUUAAUAAACAUUGCAUUAAAUUAAUUGGAUUGAAAAAUUUAAAUUUACAAAGAUUGAAACAUGGUUGAGUUUAAAAAGUAAAUUAGACAAAAAUAAAAGCUACUUGAACCACAAAAAAAAAAAAAAAAAAUGACUUGGCCAAAAAGAAACGAAAGAUUUUAAAAUAUGAUUUUUCUCGUAAGAGAUUCAGUGUUGAAGUUCUAAUAUUAAAUGGUCGAUAAAACACGAUUUUACAAGAUUUAAUAUCGAACCGUAGAAAACCGCACCAGUGAGUACCUGACAGAAAAAAUCGUUUCCUGCAUAUUAUCUUCUCCCAAUCCCCUCUGAAUUCAUAAUCAUUCACAGUUGUUCAAGCAAAAUACACACAGACAAAGAAGAAGAAGAAGAAGAAGAAGAAGAAGAAAAUGGCGGCUCUACGGAGUUCGUUUACGUCGCUAAAUCUGUCGGCAAACUCUUUCCUCGGCCAAAGCUUCGCCCCCUCUAUCCACCUUCCUGCGGUGCGUUUUCAAUUUCCCCCCCUUUUCCUUCUCUUUCAUUUGUAGACACACAUUGCGAAACUAGUUUCCUCGAUUUUUUCUUAUGAACUCUUGCAAAUUAUCAAUUGUUUGUCCAUGAUUUUGGUUUUUCCGACAAUUAAGACUCUUAUUUAGUGAAAUUAGUGAUGAAAUUAAGCAACGGCUACUAGGUUUUUUUUCCCCUAUGGCUAAUUAGGGUUUCAAUUGAGCAGUUGCAAGUGUAGGGAUUGGCCAUCUGCAUCUAACUGUGUGUGUUUGUGUGUGUGUGAACAUUAGGCCUUCUGCAACUGUUUUUACUGGCAUUUAUCUAAAAGAGAGUGAAAUUUGAAGCAGAUGAAUUAGGGAUUUGGCCAUACAUAAGUGUAUUGCUGGAUUUGUUUUUACCUCUGAGUUAUUGCACAAUAUCCGAGCAAUGAUUUAUCUAAACUAGUCGGACGACGGCAGAUAGAUAGAUAGAUUGAUGUACUCAGCUUGAAUAUUUUCGCUGCAGAUGUGUGUAUUUUCCAUUGGUUUUAUAUGAUUUCGGAAGCAACUUUUGUUUGUCGUACUAAUUUUCGGUUUUCCUGUACCAGGUUAAAUCAAAAGAGCAGCCGAUUUCAAUCGUCUCAAAGGUUAAUAUAUAUUUUUAGUUUCAUUUACCAUUUUUUUCCGUAUCCUUUACACUUGCUAUACUCACAUUCUCAUUGCUUCCCAACUAUAAAAUGAAACGGACUUCUUCGUGAAAUUUUGCAUCGAGAGGUAGUAUAGAAAUAACCUGCACUUCUAUAUUUCUGCUAUGUGUUUCUACAUGAGAAGUUCCGAGAUUUACGAAUUAACCACGACCGAUAACAGCAAUAUAAGUUGAUGAAAAUUCUGUUUCAGCUUAAACGAUGGGAGCGAAAAGAGUGCAAACCAAACAGCUUGCCGGUGCUACACAAGAUGCACGUCAAACUCGGUGACACCAUAAAAGUCAUUUCUGGAAAGGACAAGGGCAAAAUCGGCGAAGUCGCCAGAAUUAUUACACACAACAGCAGC